GAUGAACGCUGGCGGCGUGCCUAAUACAUGCAAGUCGAGCGAACAGACGAGGAGCUUGCUCCUCUGACGUUAGCGGCGGACGGGUGAGUAACACGUGGAUAACCUACCUAUAAGACUGGGAUAACUUCGGGAAACCGGAGCUAAUACCGGAUAACAUGUUGAACCGCAUGGUUCAACAGUGAAAGACGGUCUUGCUGUCACUUAUAGAUGGAUCCGCGCCGCAUUAGCUAGUUGGUAAGGUAACGGCUUACCAAGGCAACGAUGCGUAGCCGACCUGAGAGGGUGAUCGGCCACACUGGAACUGAGACACGGUCCAGACUCCUACGGGAGGCAGCAGUAGGGAAUCUUCCGCAAAGGGCGAAAGCCUGACGGAGCAACGCCGCGUGAGUGAAGAAGGUCUUCGGAUCGUAAAACUCUGUUAUUAGGGAAGAGCAAAUGUGUAAGUAACUAUGCACGUCUUGACGGUACCUAAUCAGAAAGCCACGGCUAACUACGUG
Molecule: ribosomal RNA, 497 nt
Filed under: uncultured bacterium
Lineage: Bacteria
Description: partial 16S ribosomal RNA
Rfam family: Bacterial small subunit ribosomal RNA
Source: RNAcentral